Molecule: ribosomal RNA, 478 nt
Filed under: uncultured bacterium
Lineage: Bacteria
Description: partial 16S ribosomal RNA
Rfam family: Bacterial small subunit ribosomal RNA
Source: RNAcentral
GAUGAACGCUGGCGGCGUGCUUAACACAUGCAAGUCGAACGGGAAACCUUUUAUUGAAGCUUCGGCAGAUUUAGCUGGUUUCUAGUGGCGGACGGGUGAGUAACGCGUGGGUAACCUGCCUUAUACAGGGGGAUAACAACCAGAAAUGGUUGCUAAUACCGCAUAAGCGCACAGGACCGCAUGGUCCGGUGUGAAAAACUCCGGUGGUAUAAGAUGGACCCGCGUUGGAUUAGCUAGUUGGCAGGGUAACGGCCUACCAAGGCGACGAUCCAUAGCCGGCCUAAGAGGGUGAACGGCCACAUUGGGACUGAGACACGGCCCAGACUCCUACGGGAGGCAGCAGUGGGGAAUAUUGCACAAUGGGGGAAACCCUGAUGCAGCGACGCCGCGUGAAGGAAGAAGUAUCUCGGUAUGUAAACUUCUAUCAGCAGGGAAGAUAGUGACGGUACCUGACUAAGAAGCCCCGGCUAACUACGUG